UACGUAGGGGGCAAGCGUUAUCCGGAUUUACUGGGUGUAAAGGGUGCGUAGGUGGCAAGGCAAGUCAGAUGUGAAAGCCCGGGGCUCAACCCCGGUACUGCAUUUGAAACUGUCUGGCUGGAGUGCAGGAGAGGUAAGCGGAAUUCCUAGUGUAGCGGUGAAAUGCGUAGAUAUUAGGAGGAACACCAGUGGCGAAGGCGGCUUACUGGACUGUAACUGACACUGAGGCACGAAAGCGUGGGGAGCAAACAGG
Molecule: ribosomal RNA, 253 nt
Filed under: uncultured bacterium
Lineage: Bacteria
Description: partial 16S ribosomal RNA
Rfam family: Bacterial small subunit ribosomal RNA
Source: RNAcentral